Pangasianodon hypophthalmus (striped catfish) is the source of this 2013-nucleotide RNA transcript. It is a transcript of the gene named rhodopsin, like, with no coding region annotated. The record is from RefSeq and is a predicted model, not a curated record. The transcript is spliced from 3 exons. Lineage: Eukaryota; Metazoa; Chordata; Actinopteri; Siluriformes; Pangasiidae.
UAUUACAGCUUUAUAAAGCGCUAAGACUUUUGCUUUUUAAUGUUAAGGUAAAUGCAUGGUUUUCCAGAUGGCAAGUCUAGGAAACGCACAUAACAGCCAAUAGGAUGCGUCUAAUUUGACCACGUGAUUGAGAAGUCGCUAAUUGGGUCCAAUUACACCGCUGUGCUUAAUUGAAGUUGUUUGUUUUUAAUGGCGUAGCGUCUAACGGAAUGGCUUUCGAAUGAAAAAUUAGAAAUGGAGGUCAGAAGAGAGGGAUGAGAGAGGAAAAAGAAGGAGAAAGAGAUGAACUUGACAAGUAAAAGCUCCAAAUGAACUCUGUUUGUAUCAAAGCCGGGAGUACUAUUAAGAUGCUGCACGUUCGGCACUUCAGGAGGACAACCAAAGAGGCACGGAAAGAAACCCAAAGUCCCACAGAUCAGGCGUGGAGCAUGACGCCGAGCACGAGCUGGUGUUCUGGGCGCGAUAGAGGGAGAUUCAUGAGCUGAAAGUCGUUUACCAGCGCACCAUGAUGUCAUCUUGUCUAAAGUCUGGACCUUCUCAUCAGCAGCCGGGGGGGCGGUGGUAGGACUGAAGCAUGCUCGAUCAUGUUUACGAUCGCUGCUCACUUCCCGUCAAGGCCACAGAGACUUUUCAUGCCCACGACAAAUGCUCCAAACACGGUUCUUGACUGCUUAAAUGAGGUGUGGAUGAUGUCAGACAUUUAAGGUGCAUCUCAGACAAUGCCAGAUGGUUUUAUCUGGGGACUACAUUCAUUGUCUUGCAGUUUCAUGCUUACUUGGGUCCAGUGCAUGAGAUUGCUAAAGUGCUUGGUAAUUAACCCAGGUAGGUGAGUCAGGUACAUGUUUUAGAGCAGGAAUACCAUUAAAAUGAACAGGAUAGCGAUUCCACAGUGUCGGGUCUGAAAACCCUUGGGUUAGGCUGCAGGCUUUGUUAAAGAGACGGGAGCUGGAUCAGCGAUGGCUACUUCAUUAACAUGUAGUGUGAACUCUAAUUUAAAUAAAAUCUGUCCUGUACAGAUGAAUAAUUAGACCAUAUUUUGAAUAAUUCAUGAUCCCAUUAAAAGGGUGCAGUCACAGGGUAUUGCAUUAGGAAGGCAGGCAAGAGCUGCAAUAUCAAUGUACAUAGAUAUGGAUAUGCAUCAGAUAUUAGAGAUAUUCAGAAAGGAUCUCCUGGAUUUGCUACACAAAAGCAUACAAAAAUGAGCAUUACUUAAUAUAGGGGCUAUCAUGAACAACUUUGCUGUAAACCCCUGCGUUCACUAGGUGAAAGAUGACCAUUCAUUUCCUACACAAGCUGACGACACAGACGAAUCCGCAAACGUGGUAAAAGCAACAACUGAAUUAAUUUGAAUUCAUAUUUUGUCAGUCUCAUGCAAAUUAUUCACAAUGCUGUAGAGUGGUAAGUCCAAAUGAUUGGCUCUAUUAUAUUGCUAUACUCUUAGAAAGAAGACUUCAACAGUUCUUCAUAUAGUUAAGGGUUGUUCACUGUCUAAAGUGGUUCUACUUUUUGUAAAGCAACAAAUCCAAAUGAUUGGCUCUCAUGAUCACUUUUAGAAAAAAGUCUUCCUUAAUGGUUCUUCAGAUAGUUGAGGACGCUUUCUAAAGAACUUUUUCAGUUAAACAAAUCCAAUUGUUUGGUCUGGGAAACUUACUGUAGCCUGACAUGACCAUUCCAAAUGACUGGCUCUAGUAAAUUCCUACACCCUUAGAAAGAAAUGUUCCUAAACAGUUCCUCAGAUAGUUUUGUUGGAAAAAUGAUCUGAUAGGAAGCACGCUCUGAUAAAGUGCUUCUAGCAGAACAAGCCAAAGGAUGCUUGAGGGUUAUAGUUUGGUGUUUGGUAGAUUUUACAGAAAUAAUACUGAAACUAACACAUUUUAACCAGAAUAAGUUGGGACAAAUGACCAUGGAAAGCUCAGAAAAAAGAAGCCCUUUCCUCAUGGACAACAGUGAAAUGUGGUACACUGAGGUGGCUGAGUGUAGCCAUAACUUUAUGGAUCUGGGUUAUUUCUCACC